Bombyx mori (domestic silkworm) is the source of this 763-nucleotide long non-coding RNA. RefSeq lists it as uncharacterized. The record is from RefSeq and is a predicted model, not a curated record. The transcript is spliced from 2 exons. NCBI's taxonomy places the organism in Eukaryota, Metazoa, Arthropoda, Insecta, Lepidoptera, Bombycidae.
UUAUAAAUAACAAGCAUUACGGUAAAAACUACCUUUGGUUUGCGACGCAGUGUGUUCUCUUUUUUUUGAAUUAAAUUUCACAGCCAACCUCUUUAUUAAUAAUUUUAGAACAUAUAAAAAUAGCCUCUCUUGACACGUUAAUAAUAAAAAAAAGGAAAAAUGUGUUGAAACCCGAACCCAAAUAAUGAACAAGAACUGAUAGUAAAGUAACGGUGGGUGGGUCAUUUACGUUGUAGAUGUCUAUGGGCUCCAGUAACCACUUAACACCAGGUGGGCUGUGAGCUCACCGACCCAUCUAAGCUAUAAAAAAAAAAAUUAUAAACAAACUUGUGGUUUAAGCAUUAGUACUGGCAGCUAUCAAAGAAAACAAGAAAUACGAUACAAUAUUUUUAAGAUUAAUUUGCAUGGAUACAAGCACCAAACAACAUGAUCGUUGUUGACUCAGGUUUUUCUUCAUAUCUAUAGGCAGCAGUCUACCUCAUCCAAUAAUGUGUUCGGGAUGGAGGUGAUCGCGAAACAGUAUGGAAGAUCGAUUAUACAACUAUAACAUUUUUGAACAUGUGAGAAUGUUAAACGGUUAUCCCAUUUUAACUUUUAAGUUUCGCGCCAAUUUUAUUUGUUUAAUUGUGUAUCUGUGGUGGUCUCGAAUAGAAUUUAUUUAUUUGUGAACUUUUUGCAAAGGUUGUUAACAGAUAACGUUACCACCACGUUAAUUGAAAUAGGAAUUGAUAUUUGCAAUAAUAAAAACUGUAACAAACGAUAA